This 495-nucleotide ribosomal RNA is filed under the name uncultured bacterium. Its description in RNAcentral is "partial 16S ribosomal RNA". It matches the Rfam family "Bacterial small subunit ribosomal RNA", at positions 28 to 507 of the family's 1533-position model. The record is from RNAcentral.
GACGAACGCUGGCGGCGUGCCUAAUACAUGCAAGUAGAACGCUGAAGGAGGAGCUUGCUUCUCUGGAUGAGUUGCGAACGGGUGAGUAACGCGUAGGUAACCUGCCUGGUAGCGGGGGAUAACUAUUGGAAACGAUAGCUAAUACCGCAUAAGAGUAGAUGUUGCAUGACAUUUGCUUAAAAGGUGCAAUUGCAUCACUACCAGAUGGACCUGCGUUGUAUUAGCUAGUUGGUGGGGUAACGGCUUACCAAGGCGACGAUCCAUAGCCGACCUGAGAGGGUGAUCGGCCACACUGGGACUGAGACACGGCCCAGACUCCUACGGGAGGCAGCAGUAGGGAAUCUUCGGCAAUGGACGGAAGUCUGACCGAGCAACGCCGCGUGAGUGAAGAAGGUUUUCGGAUCGUAAAGCUCUGUUGUAAGAGAAGAACGAGUGUGAGAGUGGAAAGUUCACACUGUGACGGUAUCUUACCAGAAAGGGACGGCUAACUACGUG